Molecule: long non-coding RNA, 941 nt
Organism: Peromyscus leucopus (white-footed mouse)
Lineage: Eukaryota; Metazoa; Chordata; Mammalia; Rodentia; Cricetidae
Exons: 2
Source: RefSeq, a predicted model, not a curated record
CUAUCUAAACUCACCCCUUGCUUCUGGGUCGGCGCCGAAUCUCAGCUCCGCUCCCACGCAGUUUCCAUGGCAACCAGCUGUCAUCUCUUAAUGGCCGUGUCAGGGAGGCAGAAAGUGAAAGUAGGGUGAUAAGAGGGCAGUGGACUGUCCAGCCCUGGUGUCCCCUGACUCAGUUUCCACUGUACUUCCCAGAGGCGGUGCAAUCCAGACGGCGAUGGCUCCAGCAGGCUGGCGCGGAGACGCCUGAGUGGGUCAGGUCUGAGAAGGUCCUGGCACCCGACAUUCCUAGAGGAGUUUCCACCCGAGACGCGCGCUUGAGGGGUUGUGUUUCCUGUGAGCCCGGAAAGCAAAUGUUCACUCGGUCGCCAGCCACGCCGGGGAGUUUGUGACUCUCAAGGAUGUAGCCAUGGAUUUCACUCUGGAAGACUGGGAAGAGCUGGACUAGAUCUGGAUCAGAGAGACCUGUUCUGGGACCUUCUCUUGCUCAGUAAGCAUCACCUUGAUCCUAGUCACUGCCCUGCUUUCUGCCCGUCACCCACAGGAUUCUGUCAUCGGAUGCCCAGUGCACAGGACAGCACCUUGUGACAGAGGCUCCUCCAGCCCCGAGCACGGACAGUGCUGGGCCUCAGGAACCCGCUCUGGCCCCCGCUGGCUUCUUGCAUCCCCUCCCUUUCCUGCUUGUGACUGGAGCCUUUCCCUGGGCAGCAGGGUCAGGAGGCCGAGGCUGCCGUCCUCUCUGCCCACACAGCUCAGCCCGCACUCACCCUCCCGUGGCUCCCACGUGGUCUCACUGGCCGUGUCCUCUGGAACGGGAGCUGGUGGGGCGGAGAGCAGUGAUCUGUGUGUUCAUUCACUGCCUGAUGAGCACUGGUAAGCUAGGGAAGUCUGUGGUGGGGCUUUCUUGUUGGCCGCGAGCUGGCAAACAAUGACAUGGAGACUUA